RNAcentral lists this non-coding RNA (124 nucleotides) under Microtus ochrogaster (prairie vole). The record is from RNAcentral. Lineage: Eukaryota; Metazoa; Chordata; Mammalia; Rodentia; Cricetidae.
GUGUUGUAUGAAAGGAGGGAAGGUUAGCACUCCGGAGCACUGACAACAAUGGAAGAGGCCCUUGGGCCUAACAACAUGCAUACGGUUAAGGCACGGCCACCUACUUUGUGGCACUAAAGAGAGA